This 409-nucleotide ribosomal RNA is filed under the name uncultured microorganism. Its description in RNAcentral is "bacterial SSU rRNA". It matches the Rfam family "Archaeal small subunit ribosomal RNA", at positions 330 to 745 of the family's 1478-position model. The record is from RNAcentral.
GCGCACCAGGCGAGAAACUUUACAAUGUGCGAAAGCACGAUAAGGGAACUCUGAGUGCCUCCUAAGGAGGCUGUUCAGGUGUCUAAAAGCACCUGAAGGAGGGGCUGGGUAAGACCGGUGCCAGCCGCCGCGGCAACACCGGCAGCCCAAGUGGUAGCCACGUUUAUUGGGUCUAAAGCGUCCGUAGCCGGCUGGGUAAGUUCCUUGGGAAAUUUGGCUGCUUAACAGUCAAGCUUUCAGGGAAUACUGCCCGGCUUGGGGACCGGGAGAGGUCAGAGGUACUCCAGGGGUAGGGGUGAAAUCCAUUAAUCCUUGGGGGACCACCGGUAGCGAAGGCGUCUGACCAGACCGGGUCCGACGGUGAGGGACGAAGGCUAGGGGCGCGAACCGGAUUAGAUACCCCUGUAGU